GCGUGAAGGAUCAUUAACGAGUCAUGGUCUCUCUGGCCCGACCUCCCAACCCUUUGUCUACUUGACCAUCGUUGCUUCGGCGAGCCCGUCCUCACGGACCGCCGGAGGGAUCUUUACUGGCCCUCUGGUCCGCGCUCGUCGGUAGCCCAACCUUUAAAAUCUUUAACUAAACGUGCCUUAAUCUAAGUACAAUUAUUAAAUAAAAGCAAAACUUUCAACAACGGAUCUCUUGGUUCUGGCAUCGAUGAAGAACGCAGCGAAAUGCGAUAAGUAAUGCGAAUUGCAGAAUUCCAGUGAGUCAUCGAAUCUUUGAACGCACAUUGCGCCCUUUGGUAUUCCGAAGGGCAUGCCUGUUCGAGCGUCAUUAUCACCCCUCAAGCCCUCGGCUUGGUGUUGGACGGUUUGGUGGAGGCCCCCUCGGGGGCUCCUGCCCCUCCCAAAGACAAUGACGGCGGCCUCGUUGGACCCCCGGUACACUGAGUCCUUCACAGGACACGUAUCAGACACAUGGGGUUUACGGGACACGGUCUGCCUCCCCUCAUGGAGAAUCCUUCUACAGUUGACCCGGAUCAGGUAGGGAUAACCGCUGAACUUAGCAUAUCAUACGCGGAGAAA
RNAcentral lists this ribosomal RNA (615 nucleotides) under uncultured fungus. Its description in RNAcentral is "eukaryotic LSU rRNA". The stretch from base 210 to 364 matches the Rfam family "5.8S ribosomal RNA". Lineage: Eukaryota; Fungi. The record is from RNAcentral.